Non-coding RNA from Hordeum vulgare subsp. vulgare (domesticated barley), 84 nucleotides. The record is from Rfam. NCBI's taxonomy places the organism in Eukaryota, Viridiplantae, Streptophyta, Magnoliopsida, Poales, Poaceae.
CAGGUUGCGAUGAUCAAAAUAACUACCUAUUUUCUGAGGGAUCUCUAUCCACCUGCACAGGAAUCAACUAUUUAUUCUGAGCCU